RNAcentral lists this long non-coding RNA (2677 nucleotides) under Homo sapiens (human). Its description in RNAcentral is "HSALNT0331580". The record is from RNAcentral. Lineage: Eukaryota; Metazoa; Chordata; Mammalia; Primates; Hominidae.
CUUGGCUUUUUAAACAAAUCUUUAUUUCCCCUGGUUACAAAAACAAUGUGCUCACUUUAGAUAAUUUGAGAAAGGCAAGGAAGAAGAGAAGAAACAUCAUUUUUAAUUCCACUUCAGACAUAGCCCUUCCUAACACUUUAAUGCUUUAAUGUAUUUUUUCAAGUAUGUUUUGCUGAAUAUGCCUGUAUAUAUUUACAUGUAUACAUAUAUAAUCCAGAAAUAUAUGUGGGUAUACACAGACAUGCACACACGUAUAAUUCAAAACAUCAUGAAACCUUACAUUCUGGUUUAGCGAUCUCAUGUUUCUCACAAACAAUUAUCUCUACUUAUUUGUAAAUUUACUUAUUUGUGGAGAGAUUAGAUCCUUCACAACAUCCAAUGUGUAUUAAAACCCAUAUUCUAGAACAGAUGUCCAGAGACUAUUAAAUAAAAAUUCAUUUUUCAUUCCAAGUUGCAAGAUUUAAUAAGAUCAGCAGAUCUACACACAGAAACCUCGACUAACUACGUGAGUCUAGUAUGUUUAUCUCCACAAGACUGUGGCCUCUCACUGUCAUUUACGCACAUUUCCUGCAAUUCUGACAUCCUGAGUUUGCUAGAAGGAUGAGAAUCUGUAUAGGAGGACAUCUCAAACUCUAGUUUCCACCACCGAGGUAACCUCCUGUUUAGAUACCCCACAUUCACAUUCUAGGCAUCAGGUUCUAGAAUAGCUGUAAUAUUACUUAGCAACUAUAUGCAGCAAUAACACGACUGACUACAAAACAAUCUGAUGAAAAACCUAAUCACUAAUUAGUCAAUAAUUGAACAAGAACAUUCCGCUAAUGGUGAUGCCCUGAAGCUCACUGUUUCCCUCAUCAUGAAUUAUUGAAGUCAUGUGGCCUGAAAAAGUGCACACUGGAUGGACUUGUUGAUUCACUGCUAAAAGAGUCAAAAAGCUAAGGUGCCAAUCAGAGAAAUUAUUUCCCAAGGGCACUUAUAUACAGAUCCUUCCAAAAUAUUUCAGGAACUGGGGCUUUCCAGCAGGAGUGAUGCAGGAGUACGGAAUCAGAUGCCCACAAAGUGCAGAGACAUGUUUCUGAGUGUUACCGGGAGCCAGCCAGGCAGAGCUGCAGUGUGGGAGCCCGGCCUCAGAACGGGACACCCCACCAUCGAUCAGGAGACUGGCUUCUGCCCAUCUGCUCUUUAAGCCUGUGUCUCAGAUGGUGUGAAAUAGGGAUCACCCUGAGAGAAAGCUGUCACUGCAAGAUUCCGGGAUACACUGCCUUCAUUUUUAUAAAUGCAUGCAAUUAGCUAUGACUUUUAAAUUGGCACCAUGGUGAACAAGCAUGUCUCAAGCAUACAUGCCAAGUAUUACAAGCCGUUUUUCAAUGGCUUCAACUUCCUCAGCUCCAAAACCUUGGAUCUCACUCCAACUCAGCAUCUACUAUUAUGUUCUGUGUCUCCAUUAUAUUAGAUUUGCAGGAGGUUAACGAGAAGCACAGCACAUAAUUCACAUGAAUAGGCUUUGAAACCUAAGUGUGAUGAAAAGUAUUAUUAUUACUGUUAUGCAAAGUCCUUGCAGCAAAAAUUACAUUAUCCUUUUUCCAAAUAUAUUGUGAACCUAUUGCUGCGCUAGAAUUCAGAUCUAGGCUUUCUUAAAACUCCAUUUGUGAUGCUUGCACUUACUUCAUAAACUUCCUUGGGUAUGAAAACACUUAAGUUUUCUUUUCUCCCCAAUGCCCCAGGCAGUUGACAGGUGGAUAAUGACAUCAACAGGCAGGUGGCCAUCAAAGACUCAGGGUAGGUGUGUUUUUGUGAGACCCCAGGUGGUUGAUUUCUGUAUGAUACCUCUCCAUAAAUGUGAAUUUCCUAUUCUUUAUUUCUUAAUCUUAAUAAAUCACUAUUUAAAUAACAAAACUUAACAUUCAAUCGUUAUUUUAAAGAUGACUUUUUAAAAUAACUCAAAGAGACAAAGGCAAAAAUUCCAACUAAUUUGCGUCUUUUCCCCAUUUUUCUGCCAUAUGUACAACUUCCAGUUCAAGGCUCACUUUCCUCUGGCAUUUGUUGCAUCUGUUUGAGCUUCCCAAUAGCAUCUCUCACGAUCAGCUCAACUCCGAUUCGGCGGCUAUAGAAUGGUCAAGGGCUGUACAUGGCUUUAGCUAUUCACCUGGAAGGUCUUUGGUGACUGGGUGUUGAUUUGCACCUCCACAGACGUGUGGUAGGAGAGACGCAAGGAAGAAACUGACAAGGGGAUCCCGCUGGAGCAGUCCUCCGCUGUCCAGUUAAGAAGUGGUCAUUUCCACUCCGUUCUUAUGAGUUCCCACCACCUGUUAGUUCCUUAACGUUGCUAGGUAGCCCUAGGGGGCAGCCGGAUUUGUGUAUUAAGCUCAUUUAUUUGUGCCUUUACUGUCGGCAACAACCUGAACCCACAAACUACUUCACAAAGAAAAGUCUGAGCAAAAUGUAGACAACUCUUAGGACAGGUCUUUGCCAUCAUUUGAUCACACCGUCUAUCAACCGAUGCUAAUCUUCAAGUGUCACCUGGUCUUCCAGGGCAGGUUCCGGUAACGCAGUACAGCUUUGGCAUAACUUCAGAACAAGAAAUCCCAGUGGAUCGUAGCUAUCUACUUAUAAAUUAUAAUUUUCCCCUAUGUAGAAGAAAAUAUUCAAGACCUAUAUAAUUCACAUACUUAGAAAAGAA